AGAGUUUGAUCCUGGCUCAGAAUCAACGCUGGCGGCGCGCUUAACACAUGCAAGUCGAGCGAGAAAGUGGAGCAAUCCAUGAGUAAAGCGGCGUACGGGUGGGUAACACGUGGAUCAUCUACCUUCUUGUGGGGGAUAACCCUGGGAAACCGGAGCUAAUACCGCAUAAGCCUGUAAAGGGAAAGCAGCAAUGCGCUGGAAGAGGAAGUCCGCGGCCGAUUAGCUAGUUGGUGAGGUAACGGCCCACCAAGGCGAUGAUCGGUAGCCGGCCUGAGAGGGCACACGGCCACACUGGCACUGAAACACGGGCCAGACUCCUACGGGAGGCAGCAGUGGGGAAUCUUGCACAAUGGGGGCAACCCUGAUGCAGCGACGCCGCGUGAACGAUGAAGCCCCUCGGGGUGUAAAGUUCUUUCGGCAGGGACGAUAAUGACGGUAC
RNAcentral lists this ribosomal RNA (439 nucleotides) under uncultured bacterium. Its description in RNAcentral is "bacterial SSU rRNA". It matches the Rfam family "Bacterial small subunit ribosomal RNA", at positions 8 to 478 of the family's 1533-position model. The record is from RNAcentral.